UACGUAGGGUGCGAGCGUUGUCCGGAAUUAUUGGGCGUAAAGAGUGCGUAGGUGGUGCCCUAAGUCUGUUGUGAAAUCUCCCGGCUUAACUGGGAGGGUGCGGUGGAAACUGGGGUGCUUGAGUGUGGGAGAGGUAAGCGGAAUUCCUGGUGUAGCGGUGAAAUGCGUAGAUAUCAGGAGGAACACCGGUGGUGUAGACGGCUUACUGGACCACGACUGACACUGAGGCACGAAAGCGUGGGUAGCAAACAGG
RNAcentral lists this ribosomal RNA (253 nucleotides) under uncultured bacterium. Its description in RNAcentral is "partial 16S ribosomal RNA". It matches the Rfam family "Bacterial small subunit ribosomal RNA", at positions 524 to 776 of the family's 1533-position model. The record is from RNAcentral.